Molecule: long non-coding RNA, 513 nt
Organism: Oncorhynchus tshawytscha (Chinook salmon)
Lineage: Eukaryota; Metazoa; Chordata; Actinopteri; Salmoniformes; Salmonidae
Source: Ensembl
UUUAUCUCCCUAAGCAGGAGUCAUUCAUUACUUUAUCUCCCUGAGCACGAGUCAUUCCAUUACUUUAUCUCCCUGAGCAGGAGUCAUUCAUUACUUUAUCUCCCUGAGCAGGAGUCAUUCCAUUACUUUAUCUCCCUAAGCAGGAGUCAUUCCAUUACUUUAUCUCCCUGAGCAGGAGUCAUUCCAUUACUUUAUCUCCCUGAGCUGGAGUCAUUUCAUCCACUACACAACCAUUCCAACAUUUUCCCUUUGUCUUCCACAGGUGUUCCAUUUGAGGUGGAAAGACAGUGAACUGGGGCAGUGAUACAUUUGGAUUCAACCUCCAGAACAGCUGAAUAACCUCCGUACAUCUUGAAUGCUGCUUCACUAUCUCCCAAAACCCUUCACCCCUCAGGGUAUUCUGGUUUAACCCUUCACCCCUCAGGGUAUUCUGGUUUAACCCUUCACCCCUCAGGGUGUUCUGUUCAGCCGUUCACCCCUCGGGGUGUUCUGUUCACCCCUCGGGGUGUUCUG